UACGAAGGGGGCUAGCGUUGCUCGGAAUCACUGGGCGUAAAGCGCACGUAGGCGGAUUGUUAAGUCAGGGGUGAAAUCCUGGAGCUCAACUCCAGAACUGCCUUUGAUACUGGCGAUCUUGAGUCCGGGAGAGGUGAGUGGAACUGCGAGUGUAGAGGUGAAAUUCGUAGAUAUUCGCAAGAACACCAGUGGCGAAGGCGGCUCACUGGCCCGGUACUGACACUGAGGUGCGAAAGCGUGGGGAGCAAACAGG
This 253-nucleotide ribosomal RNA is filed under the name uncultured bacterium. Its description in RNAcentral is "partial 16S ribosomal RNA". It matches the Rfam family "Bacterial small subunit ribosomal RNA", at positions 524 to 776 of the family's 1533-position model. The record is from RNAcentral.